GGAAGUUUGGAAAUCAGUGUAAAGGCUACUGACAAGAUUUUUUAUGUGAUCGGGAAUGUGAUGAUAUUUGACAACCUCAUAAAUAAGGUUAUCGUGGACUUUGCCAAAUGCAUUUUUGAGAUCUAAUAGUGUUAUGAUAAGUGAUCGUUGUUUUACUUGCGCUUUAUUAAUGAUAUGUGCCAACUGAGCUGUGUGUUCUAGUGUUCCUGAGAGUUUUGGAGUUAAACUUUUCUGUAUGCAUGUUCUGUUUCCUUUCUGUUUUUUUUUUGUUUUUCUGUUUUCUUUCUGUUUGUUUUUU
This is a non-coding RNA of Paramuricea clavata, 298 nucleotides long. NCBI's taxonomy places the organism in Eukaryota, Metazoa, Cnidaria, Anthozoa, Malacalcyonacea, Plexauridae. The record is from the annotation of a GenBank genome assembly.